GGCCAGACUCCUACGGGAGGCAGCAGUGGGGAAUAUUGCACAAUGGGGGAAACCCUGAUGCAGCGACGCCGCGUGAGUGAAGAAGUAAUUCGUUAUGUAAAGCUCUAUCAGCAGGGAAGAAAAUGACGGUACCUGACUAAGAAGCCCCGGCUAACUACGUGCCAGCAGCCGCGGUAAUACGUAGGGGGCAAGCGUUAUCCGGAUUUACUGGGUGUAAAGGGAGCGUAGACGGCGGUGCAAGCCAGAUGUGAAAGCGCGGGGCUCAACCCCGGGACUGCAUUUGGAACUGUGGUGCUAGAGUGUCGGAGAGGCAAGCGGAACUCCUAGUGUAGCGGUGAAAUGCGUAGAUAUUAGGAGGAACACCAGUGGCGAAGGCGGCCUGCUGGACGAUAACUGACGUUGAGGCUCGAAAGCGUGGGGAGCAAACAGGAUUAGAUACCCUGGUAA
Molecule: ribosomal RNA, 447 nt
Filed under: uncultured bacterium
Lineage: Bacteria
Description: bacterial SSU rRNA
Rfam family: Bacterial small subunit ribosomal RNA
Source: RNAcentral